This is a non-coding RNA of Salmo salar (Atlantic salmon), 54 nucleotides long. Lineage: Eukaryota; Metazoa; Chordata; Actinopteri; Salmoniformes; Salmonidae. The record is from Rfam.
UGCAUUCACUACUGUAAGUCGCUCUGGAUAAGACCGUCUGCUAAAUUACUAAAA